Oryza glumipatula is the source of this 206-nucleotide non-coding RNA. NCBI's taxonomy places the organism in Eukaryota, Viridiplantae, Streptophyta, Magnoliopsida, Poales, Poaceae. The record is from Rfam.
UUUAAGUGCAACCAUAACUUUCCGUGCUCAACUUUAGUUGUCCGUCUUAUUUGAAAUUUUUUUGUAAUUAGUAUUUUUGUUGUUACGAGAUGAUAAAAUAUGAAUAGUAAUUUAUGUGUGACUUAUGUUUUUAAAUUUUCUCAAAAAUUUUUUUAAAUAAGACAGACGAUUAAAAUUGGGUACGGAAAUUUAUGGCUGCACUUAAA